Molecule: small RNA, 3587 nt
Filed under: Pan troglodytes (chimpanzee)
Lineage: Eukaryota; Metazoa; Chordata; Mammalia; Primates; Hominidae
Description: retained intron
Source: RNAcentral
CAGGGAGCCUGGAAUGGCUUAGAUGGUCCCUUUGGCAGAAAAGCCUCUAGAGAUAGGUCAGGAGGGACCCAGGACCUAAGCUCUCAGCGAGGCAAGGGACAGAGAGGAGGAAAGAGGUCCCUCGGGGAGCAGGGGUCCCUGGGGGCUGAGAAUGGUGAGGUCCAGGGUCCUGGGGCCCUAAAGGAGGAUGAAGGGCAGGGAGUGGAAGAGGCUGGGAGGUCAGGCAGGAGGCCUGGCUCACUCAGGAGUAGGUCUCAGGCACAGUCAGGGGCUGAGGUUGGAGGAGGAAAGAGAAGGGGAGCAGACGAGGCUGGAAGCAUGGGGUGGCAGCCUAUGGGAGAGAACUGGGGGUGCCUGGAGGAGAUGCUGAAUGAAGAUCAGAGCCGGGAGCCGCCUGGUCACCUUGGUAGCAGGAGAAGUGGCAAAGACGGCAGGUUGGACAUCUGUGGAGAGAGGAGAGAUGCUACCCGGAGUUCCACAUCCAGAUACAAGCCUGGCACUGGCAGUUUCUCCAAGGAUGCCCGAGGCCCCAUGGGCCACUUCUCCCAGGGCCUGGCUGACAUGGAAGUGCAGCCGGGGGAGGCUGCCACACUCUCCUGUACCCUCACCAGUGACCUGGGACCCGGCACCUGGUUUAAGGAUGGCGUCAAGCUCACCGCCCAGGAUGGAGUCAUCUUUAAGCAAGAUGGUCUCGUGCACAGCCUCUUCAUCACGCAUGUGCAGGGGACCCAAGCUGGGAGGUACACCUUUGUAGCUGGUGACCAGCAGAGCGAGGCCACCCUGACUGUCCAGGAUUCCCCUACCAUUGCUCCAGAUGUGACAGAGAAACUGAGAGAGCCACUGGUGGUCAAGGCUGGGAAGCCGGUGAUAGUGAAGAUCCCCUUCCAGAGCCACCUCCCCAUUCAGGCUGCCUGGAGGAAGGACGGGGCUGAGGUGGUGGGCAGCAGUGACAGGGAGGCCCAGGUGGACCUGGGGGAUGGCUACACGCGGCUGUGCCUCCCCAGCGCAAGCAGGAAGGACUGUGGCCAGUACAGCGUGACGCUGAGGAGCAAGGGAGGCUCUGUGCAGGCCGAGCUCACUCUGCAAGUCAUAGGUACCAGCCCUGUCUUCCCCCACCUAAGGCCUGAGAGUCCCUGGGGUUCUGGGCCCUCCCUGCCAUCAAGGGCAGGCCUGGGGUAUGAUCUCUGCUGGCUCUGAUCCUCAUUUGCAUGCUGUUUAAGAUCCAGACCUACCCCUAACUCUGCUCAGACUGCUUAGGAAGAAGCAGUUGAGAUGAACACAGUGCUGGGCUCCUGCUCGGGGGGAGGAGCCAGUUAUGCUUCUCUGACCCCAAUACACUGGGCCCUCAGGAAGUUGCUGGGUAGGAUGGUGGUCCCCAGCCCUGAGUGGUGCCCGCAAGACAAGCCUGAUCCCCCACAAGGCCCCAUGGAGGUUCAGGAUUGCCAUAGGGCUGGCGUCUGCCUCCGCUGGCGGCCCCCAAGGGACAAUGGGGGCCGGACUGUAGAGUGCUACGUGGUGGAGAGACGGCAGGCUGGCAGGAGCACUUGGCUGAAGGUGGGCGAGGCCCCCGCUGACAGCACCACCUUCACGGAUGCCCAUGUGGAGCCAGGCAGGAAGUAUACCUUCCGAGUGCGGGCUGUGACCUCAGAGGGGGCUGGCGAGGCCCUGGAGUCCGAGGAGAUAUUGGUGGCUCCUGAGGCUCUCCCCAAGGCCCCUUCUGCGCCAGCCAUCCUGUCGGCCUCCAGCCAGGGCAUCACACUGACAUGGACAGCACCUCGGGGCCCUGGCAGCGCCCACAUCCUGGGCUACCUGAUCGAGAGGCGUAAGAAGGGGAGCAACACCUGGACAGCAGUGAACGACCAGCCAGUGCCUGAGAGGAGAUGGACGGUGGCGGACGUGCGGCAGGGCUGUCAGUAUGAGUUCCGGGUCACAGCUGUGGCUCCCUCAGGUCCCGGAGAGCCUGGACCUCCAUCGGAUGCCGUCUUUGCUCGGGACCCCAUGAGACCCCCUGGGCCGGUGAGGAAUCUCCAAGUCACAGACAGAUCGAACACCAGCAUCACUCUGAGCUGGGCUGGGCCAGACACCCAGGACGGGGAUGAAGCCCAGGGGUAUGUGGUGGAGCUGUGCAGCUCAGACAGUCUCCAGUGGCUCCCGUGCCAUGCGGGCACCGUGCCAGUCACCACCUACACGGCCAAGGGGCUUCGGCCUGGAGAGGGCUACUUCGUGCGGGUGACAGCAGUUAAUGAAGGAGGCCAGAGCCAGCCCAUUGCCCUGGACACAUUAGUGCAAGCCAUGCCUGUUACUGUCUGUCCCAAGUUCCUCGUGGACUCCAGCACCAAGGACUUGCUGACAGUCAAGGUCGGGGACACGGUUCGUGUGCCCGCCUCCUUUGAACAUGCCCGCAGGCGCCUGGGCCCAUCCACCUGCAGGAGAACGUGCCUGGGACGGUGACGGCUGAGUGGGAACCCUCUCCUGACGAGGCCCAGGAUGUCCCGCUGCACUACGCGGUGUUCACACGCUCCUCAGCGCACGGUCCCUGGCGCGAGGCAGCCGACCGCAUCCACACCAACCACUUCACCCUCCUGGGCAUCCUCCCCGGCCACGAAUACCACUUCAGGGUGGUGGCCAAGAAUGAGCUGGGGGCCAGCAAACCCUCGGACACCAGCCAGCCCUGGUGCAUCCCCCGGCAGCGCGACAGGUUCACAGUGAAGGCUCCGAGCUACCGGGAGCCCGACCUGAGCCAGAAGCCCCGGUUCCUGGUGGGCCUGCGGUCCCACCUGCUGCCCCAGGGCUGUGAGUGCUGCAUGAGCUGUGCCGUGCAGGGCUCACCCCGGCCCCACGUCACCUGGUUCAAGAACGACCGCAGCCUGGAAGGAAACCCCGCGGUGUACAGCACCGACCUGCUGGGCGUGUGCUCCCUCACCAUCCCCAGCGUAUCCCCGAAGGACAGCGGGGAGUACAAGGCUGUGGCUGAGAACACGCUGGGCCAGGCAGUCAGCACUGCCACCCUCAUUGUCAUAGAACCCAGCACCUAGCCUCACCUCACCCUGGGAUGGUCCUGGACCCUUGAAGCUUCACUUCCGACACCUGCACUGGCCCGGGAAGCCAAUCCCAAGGAUGGAGGCUGUGCCCAGAGCCCCAGGAAAAUGGGAGUGAGAAGAUGCCUGGCGAGGUUUUGGCCAGGAGGACGUGAAGUCCUUGGGGAAGAAAAACAAGGGAGGAGGGCAUUCCACCUCCUGGCUCCAAGCUAAGUCACUCAACAGAAUGACAGCAAACCUCCUGGACCCUCACCAUAUGGGUUUCUUUCUUCUUCGCUUCGGAGAUCCAGAGGGCACCUGCCUGCAGGAUGGGCCGGCUCCUUAUUUUCCUGGGCUGAGCCCUUUGGAGGGAGGGUGGGCACAGCUGGGCCUGCUGUGACCACUGGGAGGGAAGAGGAGAGGAGGUCAGAGGACAUGGGUGAGGACUAGGGCAUCAAGGGCGUGUGUGUGGGUGGGGGCAGCCUCCACCUCCUGGAUUCAAGAGAUUCCAGGGUUGCAGCAUGUGCUUUCUGUAUGUUUCUUCAUUAAAACAUUAGGCUAAUAUAGGCA